AGGUAGGCGCUGAGGCGGAGAUUUAAAACUUGACUGAUGCUUCCAGCUGAGAGAACUACGCAUCUGGUGGUGUGAUUGUGAAGAAGAGAAGAUGCUGGAGUUCAAGUGCACACACGCUCUGUGCUGGAUUCUAAGGACCCAGAGAUUGCACCUGAACUCAAGUUCUCAGUCCAGGGUGGAAACCAAACAGUGAAUGAGGUCAAGGACUUGAAAAGGCCUCUUGGCGGGUCUGGAGGUAAACAGACCUGGGUUCACAUCUCAAUCUUCAUACUUGCUAGUUGUAAGGUCAUAAGCACGUCAUUUCAAUAAAGGAGCCUCUGUUUCUUCAUCUGGAAGUUAGAAUCUAUCCAGCAGAGUUGGUAUAUGGAAGAGAGAGAGAGGAUUGGUAUAGCACCCAGGAUGGAAAAGAUGUGCCAUAUAUGCUACUGAUUAUUAAGAGAAGAGAGUAAAUAUUUUCAGUCGAUAGAAUUAGUGAAAGUUUCCUGGAGGAGGUAGUAUCUACAUAAGAUCCUAAAAGAUGGAUAGAUUUUGACCUGGUUUUGAGGGAUUAAAGGGAAGAGUACAGGGGCUUUUUAGGGCAGUGAAAUUGUUCUGUAUGAUACAGUAAUAGUGGAAACAUGUCACCAUGCAUUUGUCAGAAUGUACAGCACAAAGAGUGAACCCUAAUGUAAACUAUGGACUUAAUAAUAAUGUAUCAACAUUGGUUCAUUAGUUGCGGGAAAAUAUAUUACACUAACACAAGAUGUAAAUAACAGGGGAAACUGGAGGGGGUUGUGUGUGUGUGAGAACUCUGCACUUUCUGAUCAAUCUUUCUGAAAAUCUAAAAAACAAACAAGCGAAAAAAAAAAAAGCCAGGAAAGAGAACUUUAUACAAAAAGCUGAUAUAAACAAAGGCCAGGUGGUCAUGACAUGUGGCUGGAGCAUGAAGCACCUGGAGAAGAGUGAUCCCAGAAAGGUGGGUUGAAUAUCAUGUUAAACUGUUUAUGCU
Bubalus bubalis (water buffalo) is the source of this 988-nucleotide long non-coding RNA. RefSeq lists it as uncharacterized. The record is from RefSeq and is a predicted model, not a curated record. Lineage: Eukaryota; Metazoa; Chordata; Mammalia; Artiodactyla; Bovidae. The transcript has 3 exons.